UACGUAGGGGGCAAGCGUUGUCCGGAUUUAUUGGGCGUAAAGAGCGUGUAGGCGGCCUGUCAGGUCUGCUGUGAAAACUCGAGGCUCAACCUCGAGAUGUCGGCGGAAACCGUCUGGCUAGAGUCCGGAAGAGGAGAGUGGAAUUCCUGGUGUAGCGGUGAAAUGCGCAGAUAUCAGGAAGAACACCCGUGGCGAAGGCGGCUCUCUGGGACGGUACUGACGCUGAGACGCGAAAGCGUGGGGAGCGAACAGG
Molecule: ribosomal RNA, 253 nt
Filed under: uncultured bacterium
Lineage: Bacteria
Description: partial 16S ribosomal RNA
Rfam family: Bacterial small subunit ribosomal RNA
Source: RNAcentral